Long non-coding RNA from Solanum lycopersicum (tomato), 415 nucleotides. RefSeq lists it as uncharacterized. The record is from RefSeq and is a predicted model, not a curated record. Lineage: Eukaryota; Viridiplantae; Streptophyta; Magnoliopsida; Solanales; Solanaceae.
CAUUCAAUAUUUUAGAGGAGGAUUUGGAGGGGAAAACUAAAGAAAACUCAUAAAAUUUUGAGAAUUUUUAGUUCCCAUAGUUCAAAAAAUUUUAAAGUGUUUUUGUGGUUUUUCGAGGUGAGGAGGUGGAGUCGUCUCUUUCAAACUCGGAGUUUCGAUUCGUUGUCCAGAACCAGUUUGUUUAGGUUAAAGAAAGAGCUUCAUCAGCUGCAAGCCUAUUCGAAGAUCUUAGCACCCGGAUAUGACAACAAAUCAAGAAAGCAGAAGGAUAUUUCGCGGAGGCAUAGUUUAGGGUCGUACCCAUGUGUGAGACUAAUUAUUUUGUAUACAUUUCCCCUAUUAUGUAUCCCAUUAAGUUUUAUUUAUAAAGUUUGUAUAAUUUUGAGUUUUGGGGCAAUGAAAUAUUUUGAAAUGA